GACGAACCUUGCGAACGUUAUUCGGAAUCACUGGGCUUAAAGCGCGUGUAGGCGGGUCGAUGCAUCGGUCGUUGAAAUCCCCCGGCUUAACCGGGGAACUGGCGCCGAGAUGAUCGAUCUGGAGGGGAGUAGGGGGACCUGGAACUUCCGGUGGAGCGGUGAAAUGCGUUGAGAUCGGAAGGAACGCCCGUGGCGAAAGCGAGGUCCUGGACUUUUUCUGACGCUGAGACGCGAAAGCUAGGGGAGCAAACGGG
Molecule: ribosomal RNA, 254 nt
Filed under: uncultured bacterium
Lineage: Bacteria
Description: partial 16S ribosomal RNA
Rfam family: Bacterial small subunit ribosomal RNA
Source: RNAcentral